AUCAACAGGAAUUGAGAAAUGCUGAAUCAGUGACAAAAAUAUUGAGCCCCCCAUUGAACCUAGCACGAAAAAGGUCGAGAAUCGCACAUAAUUCUUCAAGAAGUUGUUGAACUUGUAGUAGUACAAGAGAACCAGAAGAAAAGUGAAGACGGCAAUAACAAUAACAAACACCAGCGCAUUAAGUAGAGCACCUUCCAGUUUCUGGGAAGCCGAGUCGGAGGGGUUCUCUACGUAGACAAGGUUGGCAGGGGUGCGGAUCGGCGGG
RNAcentral lists this unclassified non-coding RNA (265 nucleotides) under Hevea brasiliensis (rubber tree). The record is from RNAcentral. Lineage: Eukaryota; Viridiplantae; Streptophyta; Magnoliopsida; Malpighiales; Euphorbiaceae.